UCCGGCGGAUGCCCUCUUUCUCCGGCCUGAUUGGGCGUAAAGCGUCCGCAGGUGGCAGUUCAAGUCUGCUGUCAAAGACCGGGGCUCAACCUCGGAAAGGCAGUGGAAACUGAACAGCUAGAGUAUGGUAGGGGCAAAGGGAAUUCCUGGUGUAGCGGUGAAAUGCGUAGAGAUCAGGAAGAACAUCGGUGGCGAAGGCGCUUUGCUGGACCAUAACUGACACUCAGGGGCGAAAGCGAGGGGAGCGAAUGGG
RNAcentral lists this ribosomal RNA (253 nucleotides) under uncultured bacterium. RNAcentral describes it as "partial 16S ribosomal RNA". It matches the Rfam family "Bacterial small subunit ribosomal RNA", at positions 524 to 776 of the family's 1533-position model. The record is from RNAcentral.